CAAAAACAUGUCCUUUUGUUUAUAAAUAUAAGGUCUAGCCUGCCCAAUGAUUUAUUGAAUGGCCGCGGUAUUUUAACUGUGCUAAGGUAGCAUAAUCACUUGUCUUUUAAUUGAAGGCUAGAAUGAAUGGCUGGACGAGAUAUAAGCUUUCUUUAACUUAAUUUUAGAAUUUAAUUUUUUAGUCAAAAAGCUAAAAUUUAUUUGAGGGACGAGAAGACCCUAUAGAUCUUUAUAUUUUUUGUUAUUAUAUAUUUUAGUAUAUUUAUUAUUAUAAUAAUUUAACAUAUUUGGUUGGGGCGACUGUAAAAUUUUUAGUAACUUUUAUUUAUUAAAAUUCAUUUAUAUAUGUGUUCUUGAUCCAAUAUUAUUGAUUAUAAGAUUAAGUUACCUUAGGGAUAACAGCGUAAUUCUUUCGGAGAGUCCUUAUCGAUGAAGGAGUUUGCGACCUCCAUGUUGGAUUAAAAUUAGUUGUAGGUGCAGGAGCUUGCAUACUAGGUCUGUUCGACCUUUAAAUUUUUACAUGAUCUGAGUUC
Molecule: ribosomal RNA, 533 nt
Filed under: Irantha sp. 00004477
Lineage: Eukaryota; Metazoa; Arthropoda; Insecta; Hemiptera; Reduviidae
Description: partial 16S ribosomal RNA
Rfam family: Bacterial large subunit ribosomal RNA
Source: RNAcentral